This 133-nucleotide non-coding RNA is filed under the name Ricinus communis (castor bean). Its description in RNAcentral is "Bacterial small subunit ribosomal RNA". It matches the Rfam family "Bacterial small subunit ribosomal RNA", at positions 1388 to 1520 of the family's 1533-position model. The record is from Rfam by way of RNAcentral. Lineage: Eukaryota; Viridiplantae; Streptophyta; Magnoliopsida; Malpighiales; Euphorbiaceae.
CACCGCCCGUCAUACUAUGGAAGCUGGCCAUGCCCGAAGUCAUUGCCUUAACCGCAAGAAAGGGGAUACCGAAGGCAGGGCUAGUGACUAGAGUGAAGUCAUAACAUGGUAGCCAUACUAGAAGGUGCGGCUG